This 161-nucleotide unclassified non-coding RNA is filed under the name soil metagenome. RNAcentral describes it as "partial internal transcribed spacer 1". The record is from RNAcentral.
CAGGACUCGCAAGACUCCUACAACCCUGUGAACCCUACUAUACGAACGUUGCUUUCGGCCGGGUGCGCCCCGGGGAUUCGUUCCCGCGGCGCGUCAGCCCGCCGGCCAAGCCUACAAAUUCUGUUUCUUUGCGUUGGCAUCUCGAGAAAAACAAUGAGUUA